This 857-nucleotide ribosomal RNA is filed under the name uncultured bacterium. RNAcentral describes it as "SSU rRNA". It matches the Rfam family "Bacterial small subunit ribosomal RNA", at positions 524 to 1381 of the family's 1533-position model. The record is from RNAcentral.
UACGGGAGUGGCAAGCGUUAUCCGGAAUUAUUGGGCGUAAAGCGUCCGCAGGCGGUCUGUCAAGUCUGCUGUUAAAGCGUGGAGCUUAACUCCAUUUCGGCAGUGGAAACUGACAGACUAGAGUGUGGUAGGGGCAGAGGGAAUUCCCGGUGUAGCGGUGAAAUGCGUAGAUAUCGGGAAGAACACCAGUGGCGAAGGCGCUCUGCUGGGCCAUAACUGACGCUCAUGGACGAAAGCCAGGGGAGCGAAAGGGAUUAGAUACCCCUGUAGUCCUGGCCGUAAACGAUGAACACUAGGUGUCGGGGGAAUCGACCCCCUCGGUGUCGUAGCCAACGCGUUAAGUGUUCCGCCUGGGGAGUACGCACGCAAGUGUGAAACUCAAAGGAAUUGACGGGGGCCCGCACAAGCGGUGGAGUAUGUGGUUUAAUUCGAUGCAACGCGAAGAACCUUACCAGGGUUUGAUAUCCUGCGAAUCUCUUGGAAACGAGAGAGUGCCUUCGGGAACGCAGUGACAGGUGGUGCAUGGCUGUCGUCAGCUCGUGUCGUGAGAUGUUGGGUUAAGUCCCGCAACGAGCGCAACCCACGUCGUUAGUUGCCAGCAUUUAGUUGGGCACUCUAGCGAGACCGCCGGUGAUAAACCGGAGGAAGGUGUGGAUGACGUCAAGUCAUCAUGCCCCUUACAUCCUGGGCUACACACGUACUACAAUGCUACGGACAAAGGGCAGCAAACUCGCGAGAGCUAGCAAAUCCCAUAAACCGUGGCUCAGUUCAGAUCGUAGGCUGCAACUCGCCUACGUGAAGGAGGAAUCGCUAGUAAUCGCAGGUCAGCAUACUGCGGUGAAUACGUUCCCGGGCCU